This 1296-nucleotide long non-coding RNA is filed under the name Homo sapiens (human). RNAcentral describes it as "HSALNT0366364". The record is from RNAcentral. Lineage: Eukaryota; Metazoa; Chordata; Mammalia; Primates; Hominidae.
UUCUUUUCCACCUUUUAGGUGCUUUGUUCUUUGUAAUAAAUUUUAGUGCUGGUUAUUCUUUGGGAUCACACUGCCUUUAUAAGCUGUGACGCUCACUGCAAAGAUAUACAGCUUUAGUCCUGAAGCUACGGAAAACAUGAACCCACCAGGAGAAACGAAGAACUCUGGAUGCGCUGUCUUAAGAGCUGCAACACUCAACAGCGAAGGUCUGCAGCUUUAUUGCUGAGUCAGCAAGACUGCGAACCCACCAAAAAGGAAAAACUCCCAACACAUUGGAACAUCAGAAGGGACAAACUCGGGACACGCCGCCAUUAAGAACUGUAACAAACACCGCGAGGGUCUGCGUCUUUAUUCUCGAAGUCAGCCAGACCGAGAACCCACGAAUUCCAGACACAGACUCAGCUACUCGGGAGGCUGAGGCAGGAGAAUCACUUGAACUCGCGAGGCAGAGGUCACAGCGAGCCAACAUCACAGCAUUGCACUCCAGCCUGGGCACAAGAGCAAGAGCAAAUCACCAUCUUUAAAAAAAAAAAAAAAACCCAAAACCUGUUCAACUUUGCUGGUCAUGAGGGAAAUCUAAAAUAAAACCACAAUUAGUUACCCACUUCUCAGAAUGGCAAGGAGGGGCUCCUGAAAUUCCUAUAUGUUGCUGAGGACAACAGUCUGAGCUCUCCUUAGAACAAGACCUUGCCUUACUCAUCUCUGUAUCUUCCAAAGUGCUCUGUCUGGAGCAUAGCACAUGGUAAGUGCUCCAUAAAUGUCUGUUGAACUCCCUGCUAGUAGAACAAUGAUGUGGGUUAAUUAGCAUAUAAUAUUAAAAUGUAGCUACAGAACUGAAACUGCAGAUAAAAAAAAUUGCUUAAUACCCAAGGAAGUUGUUGCCUGCUCUCCAAAUCAUCAGCACAGAAGAUAGCACUCGUCACUGUGGUUGGGGAAAUUGCACGGUGAAAGUCACAGGAUGGCUCUGCAAGGGGGCAGGGACAUCAGACUGGGGUCACGUUCCCAUGUGGUAUUCUGCGCCUGUAACUCAUAUGACACUCUGGCACUAUUUCUAAAUAACACUCAAGUGUCUGUUUUAUCAGAGUAUAACACACUUGGCUGGAAUAGUUCACUUACUGAUAUUCCACAAUUUAUGUAACCAGUUCCAUAUUAUGGGAUAUUUAUUUAGGUUAGUGCUACUUUUUUUUUUUUUUUUUUUUUUUUGAGAUGCAGUCUCGCUCUGUCACCCAGGCUGGAGUGCAGUGGCGCAAUCUCGGCUCACUGCAAGCUCCACCUCCUGGGUUCAUGCCAUUCUCC